GCAUGAUUAAUAAUUCGUUAAAUAUGCAUGUUGGACUUGGAACUUGACUUAGGAGAAAACCAGCGUUUUGACCCGUCAUAUGAUUCUACUACCUGAUUUAGCUCUAGGAGCCGUGGUUUGAUUGUAUCACCGCUGUUUCAGCGCAGUGGAUAUCCGGGGUAGUUUAGAAUGCAUUUACGCUCGUGCUGGGAUGCCGAGCUUAUUUUUACAGCAGAGUUUAGGCUGUUUCGGGUUGUCGGGUGCCGUCAGGGUGGACGGUGGAUCCAGAUUCUUAUUUUUGGUAUCAGAUUGUGCCGAGGGCACGUGGGUUCGGUUUCUAGACCGGUUUUGACCCUAACUACUUAUCUUUAGCUGAUUAGAGCCUGAUUGAGCUCGACAGAGAUACACUUGCAUACUCGAUUGGGUAGCGCCCACGAGUGCCACUCCGGAGUCGAGCUUAGUGCAUUUGCGUUUGUGUCGUUCGUGCAGGUUGGACUUGCUCUCCACGGACUUGUUAGUAUGGAGGUAGCUGAUUAGUUGUAACCUGGCGGGAUGGGUGUGUUCACAGUCCCAGGGAUGGGUAUGAUUACAGUCCCUAUUCAAGAUUGGGUCUGUGUUGACACUGUUCUACAGUUGGUUAGAUUAGAGCAUGAUAGUAUAGAGGCAGAUAGUUGUAGAUAUGUUCCAGCUUUCUUUAUUAUUUCUUGCUUACCCCUGUAGAUUUAGUGGGUGGACCGAUGAGUUUGAGGGCAGUACCCACUGAGGACUACUUGUUUUUACAGUAGUUCUCACGCCCAGUUUGUUUCCACUAUUUUGUAGAGUCAUCGUCUUCGGCUGCUGCUGUCGCUAAUUUUGAUCAUGGCAAGGGCGUCGCGAGUUAUAGCCCUUCCAGUCGAGUUGCUGAGCUAGUGGAGGACCGCUGCAGGUAGUGUAGUUUUGGUUUAUACAUACAGAUGUUGUACUCUCGCCAGUGCGAGUGCUUUUGUAUCUUGGAUCUUAUGUAUGUAUAGAACCACAGUUUAUAUAUUUAUGGUUUAUUUUCUCCUAGCUGCUCUAUACUACUGUCUGUAGUAUUGUAUGAUUACAUGUACUUUUACUUUUCGCUUCGUAUACAGAGAAAAUAGCUAUAUAUACUGCGGGUCUGUUAGCGAACCCGGGAAAACGAGUAAUCCGGGGCGUGACAGAUUAAAUUGGUAUCAGAGUUUAGCUGUAGGUCGUUGGGACCUAGGAGCCCUAAGUUUGGCAAACCUUAGGAAGGUAAGACGUGAGAGGCGUGAUUUAUCACGCAAGUCAACGAUUUGUUGUUCUAACUCCUCCUAGAGUGGAGUGAGUGAUUGGAGGAGCUCCAUUUUUGGCCUGAAAAAUUAUGUUUGCUGCAGACGACAUAAUUUUGAAGAGAAACAGGGGCCGCCUUCUAGACUUUUGUUUGAUUGGUCGAGAGUAUUUUUGUUGUAUCUGACCCCUGUUUUGUCCUUUACAGCUAUGUACCGUCGCCGAGGUCGACCGUCGCUCAGAGAUCGUGCCGCACCGCCCGAGAUGCCUGAGCAGGCAGAGCCGAGUGCACCACCAGAGGCGAGUGCACCCCCUGUUGUGGAGCAGAGGGCCCGACCGGAGGUGGGUGCACCUCCUAAUUUGAGUGCACAGUUAGCCGCCCUCACAGAGGUGAUGAGGCGACAGGGGGAGUUGUUGGAGAUGUUGUGUGAGAGGGUAGCUCCGUCACCGAGUAAAGUACCGAGAGUACAUGAGCAAGCCGUUCCACCUCUGACUACUCCAGUGACAGCACCAGCCGCAGCUAUACCUCUGCCAAUGGAGUUUCUUGCAGUGCCAGUUGUGCCUGCUAGGGGGCCAGUAUAGUUGACAGAGGCCGAGCAGGAGCGGUUGACAGAGAGGUUGGCUCGUUUCCGCCGUUUUGAUCCGCCGACCUUCGAUGGCAGUUGCACUGAGGCCUGGGUUGUUGAGGGCUGGGUCAGUGCGAUGGAGAAGCUAUUUGAGGAUCUGUUCAUUUCUGAGUGGGAGCAGGUAUUUUUGGGAGUCCAUUGCUUGGCAGGUGAUGCCCACGCCUGGUGGAGGAGAGUGAGGAGAGAGUAGGGACUGGUAGCGUUGCAGCUGAAAUGGAAUGAGUUCUGUGGAAUGUUGUUUGGGAUGUUUUUUUCCAGCAGUGUGAAAUAAAAGCUCGAGGAGGAUUUGAAGAGGAUUCAGCAGGGGGACCGUCCAGUGUAGGAGUAUAUUCGGGAGUUUACUCGACUCCUGAACUGUGUGCCAUUUGUGGCCAGGGACGAGGCACAUAGGGUUUAUCUGUUUGAGCAGGGGCUGAGACCCGACAUCUUCAGGUUGGUGCGGGCGCAAAGGUCGAGGAUCCUGGAUGCGUCCAUAGAGCAGGCCUUAUGGGUGGAGGAGGUGAAGUGUCGCUGCAGGAGAGGACUCAGGCAGUGGGGCAGAGUCAGGACAGGAAACGUCCCUUUCCCGAUUACGGAGGACAGUCGAGAAGCAGACGUCCGCCAAGACCUCCACGAUCACGUUCUCAGGGUCGUGGGUCUUCGGGGCGUCAGCGUUCCAGGGGAUCCCGCAGCAGGGACAGACUUCGAGGACACCGUAGUGUGUGAUCUGCGGGGGACCAUAAUGGCCCCGACAGUGCGAGCAGAGAGAGGGCCGUUGCUACACUUUCGGUCAGCCUGGGCAUAUGAGGUCAGCUUGUCCUUGUGCAGCAUCAACAGCACCAUCCAUGGCAUCAGCGCAGCCAGCAUCCCAGCAGUCUUUUGGAGCAGCACCGAGUUUCCGCCAGGAGGACAGAUCGUCUGUGCCGUGUCAGACUCAGCGGCGACAGCAGGCUCCGAGUGGCAGAGUUUACGCAUCUCAGGUGGAGGACUCUUCAGCAGCCGACCGAGUGGUGAUAGGUAUCAUUUUGAUUUCAGGCAUUCGUACUUGUACUCUUUUUGAUAUCGGUGCCUCACAUUUUUUCGUUAGCCGAACAUUUGCAUUGUUGCAUGGUCUAGAGUUAGGGUCAUUGUCAUAGGCACGAGAGGUGCAGAUCCCCGACCAUGUUUUACAGGUUGCAGAGUGUUGUUGGUCAUGUCCGGUGCAGUUAGAUUCUUGGAUCAUGCCCGCAGACCUGUUGGUAUUAGGGCAGCUGCAGGACUUUGACGUAGUGCUCGGUAUGGAUUGGCUGGCACGGUACAAUGCUACUAUCGACUGUGGAGCGAGGACUGUGACGUUCCGUGAGCCAGGCUAGCAGGAGUUCACCUUCAGAGGCUGUAGGAGUACUUUGUUUGCCACUUGGAUAUCUUCGGCGAGGGCUCGACAGCUGAUGAGUAGAGGAUGCGUUGCUUUUCUGGCGACUGUGACAGAGGUGCCUACGGCAGCGCCGGGACUCGAGGAUAUUCCUAUAGUCCGCGAGUUUCCGGACGUGUUUUUUUCGGAGUUGACAACGAUGCUGCCGGAGAGGGAGAUAGAGUUUGUGAUUGAUGUAGUUCCUGGAAUUACACCAAUCUCAAAGGCACAUUACAGGAUGGCACCGACGGAGCUGAGAGAGCUAAAGGCGCAGCUUCAGGAUUGGAUUGAUAAGGGGUUUGUGAGACCCAGUGUGUCGCCUUGGAGAGCGCCGGUGUUGUUUGUAAAGAAGAAGGAUGGUUCGCUCAGGUUGUGUGUAGAUUACCGGGAGCUAAAUAAGGUGACUAUCAAGAAUAAAUAUCCUUUGCCGUGCAUUGGUGAUCUGUCUGAUCAGCUGCAAGGAUUUUAUGUCUUCUCGAAGAUUGACCUCCAAUCCGGUUACCACCAGUUGAGGGUGUGGGCCGAGGAUGUUCCCAAGACGGCUUUUCGGACUCGGUACGGGGACUAUGAGUUUACGGUGAUGCCGUUUGGAUUGACGAAUGCCCCUGCGGCAUUCAUGGAUUUGAUGAACAGAGUGUUCAAGCCAUUCUUAGAUAGGUUUAUGGUAGUCUUCAUUGAUGAUAUUCUGAUAUACUCCCGGAGCGAUGCCGAGCAUGAGGAGCACUUGAGGACUGUGCUACAGCUUCUGCGAGAGAAGAAGUUGUAUGCCAAGUUAAAGAAGUACGAGUUCUGGUUGCGGGAGGUUGCUUUCUUGGGCCACGUGAUAUCUGCGGUUGGAGUGGCAGUGGACCCGAAGAAGAGUGAUGCUAUUCAGGAUUGGCCCAGACCGACGACGGUGACAAAGGUGAGGAGUUUUCUUGGACUUGUAGGUUAUUACCAUCGAUUUGUGGAAGGCUUUGCGAAGCUUUCCACACCACUCACUCGACUGACUCGUAAAGGAAUUAAGUUUGUCUGGAGUGAGGAUUGCCAGAGGAGCUUCGAUGAGUUGAGACAAAGGUUGACGUCAGCUCCUAUCCUUGCCCUUCCAGUGAUGGGGGAAGGAUUUGUGAUUUACAGUGAUGCAUCGCAUAGUGGUUUAGGCUGUGUGCUGAUGCAGCAUGGUAGGGUAAUUGCUUAUGCUUCACGGCAGUUAAAGGAUUACGAGAAGAAUUACCCUACUCAUGACUUGGAGCUUGCCGCGGUAGUUUUUGCUUUGAAGUUGUGGCGGCAUUACUUGUACGGUGAGCACUGCGAGGUUUUCACCGAUCAUAAAAGUCUCAAGUAUCUGUUCACCGAGAGGGAGUUGAAUUUGAGGCAACGCCGGUGGUUGGAGUUACUGAAGGACUAUGAUAUUAGUAUUCAGUAUCAUCCCGGCAAGGCGAAUGUGGUGGCAGAUGCGUUGAGCAGGAGGGCAGUGCAAAGCUUGAGCAUGUUGAUCACUCAGCAAAGGCCGUUACUCGAGGAGCUGCAGCGGCCGAGGCUCGAGAUAGUGUACUCUGGAUCUACUGCGAGACUGAUGUCUAUGGUCUUGCAACCCACUCUGUUGGAUAGGAUCCGAGAGAAACAGGGUGGAGAUCCGCACUUGUCGAGGAUUCGAGAGCAGCUAGAGAGGGGACAGGCAGAGGGUUUUGUUGUGGACAGUUCGGGAGUACUGCGGUAUAGGGACCGAUUGUGUAUAUCUAUGGAUUCAGAGAUCCGAGAGGACAUUUUGAGAGAGGCUCACUGUUCACCUUAUAAGAUUCACCCCGGUGGAACGAAGAUGUAUAAGGAUUUAAAGACACAGUUUUGAUGAAAUGGAAUGAAGAGGGACAUUGACAGAUUUGUGGCUCAGUGUCUGACUUGUCAAUAGGUAAAGGCCGAGCAUCAGGUACCUGCUGGCAAGCUUCAGAGUCUGCCAGUGCCCGAGUGGAAAUGGGAGCAGAUCACGGUAGACUUCGUCGUGGGAUUGCCGAGUGCACAGUGUGGCUAUGAUGCGAUUUGGGUGAUAGUGGACAGACUAACUAAGUCUGCUCACUUCCUACCGGUUCAGACCACCUGGUCCAGGGAGAGACUCGCGCAGCUAUAUCUGGAUGAGAUUGUUAGGCUGCAUGGCGUGCUGAUUUUGAUCGUAUUUGAUAGGGAUCCGAGGUUUGUAUCACACUUCUGGAGGAGUUUGCAGACAGCCUUGGGUACACAGUUGCAGUUCAGCACAACGUUUCACCCACAAACAGAUGGUCAGUCAGAGCGGACUAUUCAGACUCUAGAGGACAUGCUGAGAGCAUGCGUCCUGAACUUUGGAGGAGGGUGGUAUCGACAUUUGAGACUGGUUGAGUUUGCGUACAACAACAGCUAUCAAGCGAGCAUCCAGAUGGCUCCGUUUGAGGCGUUGUAUGGACGCAGGUGUCGAUCCCCUUUGUUUUGGAGCGAUGUGGGUGAGAGAAAAACGCUUGGGCCUGAGAUUCUGAUUGAGGCUGAGGAAAAGAUAAAAGAGGCGCGACGGCACAUAUUAGCAGCCCAGAGUCGACAGAGGAGCUAUGCUGAUACCCGGAGACAAGACAUGGAGUUCCAGGUGGGAGAUCAUGUGUUUCUUAAACUCUCGCCUUCCAGAGGAAUUCGCCGAUUUGGAGUACGUGGAAAGCUCAGUCCAUGUUUUGUAGUCCCUUUUGAGGUAUUGGAGCGAGUCGGGCCAGUUGCUUACAGGAUUGCUCUACCUCCACGACUAGCCGGCAUUCACGAUGUUUUCACGUCUCGGCUUUGAGGAGAUAUGUGUUCAAUCCCUCCCACGUGAUAGACUUCACUCCGCUUAAGAUUGGAGAGAACUUAAGAUACGAGCAGCGACCGGUGCGGAUUCUGGCUCGAGAGUCGAGGGAAUUGCGCAACCGAGUCAUACCCUUUGUAAAGGUGCAGUGGAGUAAUCACGAGGAGCGGAAUGCGACUUCGGAGCCGGAGACGGUGAUGAGAGAGUCCUACCCCUACCUUUUUGAGGCUCAGGAUUGAGAUAUGUUUCAGUUUCGCGGACAAAAUUUUUUGUAGUGGGGGAGGAUGUAGUGUUCGUGAUGUUUGGAUAGGAUUGGCUACAGUAUUAGUGACUGGUCGACAUCAUAGGAGAGUGUCGGACUGAGUCGGAGUCGUUUCUGUACAAAUUGGAUGCAGAAAUGGACUCGACGCACUCAAUUAAGCAAAAGUAGAGUUAUGCCAGAUUCGGGCGCCCAGAACACGGUUUAGGUCGCCCAGAACUGAGUACUGAAUUUAACUGAAAUUGGAAGCCAAUUCGGAUCCUAUAUUCCGGACGCCCAGAAGUGGGUCCGAAAACUUUACAUCGUGAAUAUCGUUUGUGUUGAUACGUGGGUGAUGGUAGGUGAGGUCCGCCGGAGCCGUUUACGGGCACAGUGCACCGCGGGCGGAGAAUCUGAAGUGGAACAAUUGUGUAGCCUGGAGGAUUCGGGCGCCCAUAAUGUGGAUCCGGGCGCCCGGAAGUGCCCGUUUCUGCAGGGACAUUAGAUUGUAGCAGUUGUUCCGGGGCUUAUCCUACCCUUCCUGCACCCUAUAAAUAGUUGGAGAGGGACCUUGGUGAGCUCUUUUCUCAGUUUCUUCACAGUGAACUCAGAAUUCCUCUCUCAAUCCUUCAAAUCUUCGCAAAUUGCUUCAUAAUCCACAACUCCAAGCUUGCUAGGUGCUGAUUUUGCAGUUCUUCAGCGACGACCUCCAGUGUUUUGGCUCGUGCGUGACGUAGGAAGGUCGGAUUUCAACGAAACUUGGUUUGCUGGAUUCUUGACUUCCAGAGGAAUCCACGAUUGCAGAUUUUGGUUGAGGUUAGUUUAGUCGAUUCCAUAUUUUUCUAGAUUGUUGUUACUUUGAAGCUGAAUUUGAGUUUUAGUGGUUUUUUCAAUGCAAUUCUUGGAUGGAACAGGAUUUUUGGACCUGAGAUUUGUACUCCAUCCUUAUUCACUAGAUUUGGAAUUUGUCUCACCCGAAUUGGAGAUUAUUAGGUGAGUUUUGACAUUGGAGUUGAGAUAAUUAAGCUUAAGUGCUAAAAUUUUGGUGCAUUGAUGGAUUUUGGCCUUUUUUGGUGCUUGAACCUUGAUGUAGCUUUGUUGCUGGACUUGAGGGUGUUUCGGUUGAGCCAGCAGGUUUUCCACAGCUGAGAGAGUUCUUUGCUGCUAGGGAUUAGCUCUUGAGGUGGGUUUUCAUCGGUGUUACUCCUAAGCCGUAUUAGUCGACAUGUGUGAUUUCAGUUUUUGGUAGAUCAUGUGUUAGCUCAAUUUCUUGAUUAGAUCAUGUAUAAAAUCAGAAUUGAGAGCAUGAUUAAUAAUUCGUUAAAUAUGCAUGUUGGACUUGGAACUUGACUUAAGAGAAAACCAACGUUUUGACCCGUCAUAUGAUUCUACUACCUGAUUUAGCUCUAGGAGCCUGGUUUGAUUGUAUCACCGCUGUUUCAGCGCGGUGGAUACCCGGGGUAGUUUAGAAUGCAUUUACGCUCGUGCUGGGACGCCGAGCUUAUUUUUACAGCAGAGUCUAAGCUGUUUCGGGUUGUCGGGUGCAGUCAGGGUGGACGGUGGAC
This 7825-nucleotide long non-coding RNA is filed under the name Ananas comosus (pineapple). Its description in RNAcentral is "long non-coding RNA (ACOM_LNC043782)". Lineage: Eukaryota; Viridiplantae; Streptophyta; Magnoliopsida; Poales; Bromeliaceae. The record is from RNAcentral.